This is a long non-coding RNA of Scylla paramamosain (green mud crab), 872 nucleotides long. RefSeq lists it as uncharacterized. The transcript has 5 exons. The record is from RefSeq and is a predicted model, not a curated record. NCBI's taxonomy places the organism in Eukaryota, Metazoa, Arthropoda, Malacostraca, Decapoda, Portunidae.
AGGAGGAGGAGGAGGAGGAGGAGGAGGAGGAUGAAGAACGAGGAGCAGGAAGACAAGGAGCAGGAGGAGGAUGAGGAGGUGAAAGAGGAGGAGGAGGAAAAGGAAGGCUCCAGGAGUUUUGAAGAAGAGGAGGAGGAAGAGGAAGAGGAAGGAGGAGGAGGAGGAGGAGGAGGGUUAGGUGUGGCCCUCCCUCCCCCUCCCACACCACUGCAGUCCCAGCCUCUGAUUGGCCAGCCCUCAGCCAAUCAGGAGAGAGACUUUAUGGCCUUGCAGGUGGAGGAAGGCCGAAGGGAACUGGAGGAGGAGAGAAAGAGGCACAGGCUGGAGGUUGAAAACAAAAGGUCUAGAUUUAGAAUGAUGACAACGACCACAGCCACCACCAGCACCUCCCCCACUAGUCUGCCUUUCUCUUCAAGUCCCAGCGAGGAGCACCCGCCCUCCUCCCCAGCCUCCUCUCUCAACAGAUGGGAGGGCCUGGACAGACUGAGAGAGGAACUGAUGAAAGAGAGAGAGAUAGAGAUUGAAGAGAGAAUUGCAAGUGUAAGAGAGGAAGAAAGGAGGAAAUUAGAUGACGAAAAACAGUAUUACGAAUUGUUCAGGUGGUCGAAUGUUCCAGCUAUCGGUUUACUCCAGCCACCCUCACUGAGCAGAUAUGAAAACAAGAGCCGCUGAGAGGUUUGAACUAUUCGUCUGCUGCUUUUAGUGUUUGCGGUGCUGCUCCAAGUUGUUCUCUUCGCUUAUUCCAAGGCCAUCAGUCGUGGCAAGAACCAGUAAGAUCAUACAACUUCAGGCAUUUAAGUACUUCAACAACUCGAUUACUCUUUUUACUGGCAGUGGUAGUGUUCCAGAGAGAGAGAGAGAGAGAGAGAGAG